GAUGAACGCUGGCGGCGUGCCUAAUACAUGCAAGUCGAGCGAACGGACGAGAAGCUUGCUUCUCUGAUGUUAGCGGCGGACGGGUGAGUAACACGUGGAUAACCUACCUAUAAGACUGGGAUAACUUCGGGAAACCGUAGCUAAUACCGGAUAAUAUUUUGAACCGCAUGGUUCAAAAGUGAAAGACGGUCUUGCUGUCACUUAUAGAUGGAUCCGCGCUGCAUUAGCUAGUUGGUAAGGUAACGGCUUACCAAGGCAACGAUGCAUAGCCGACCUGAGAGGGUGAUCGGCCACACUGGAACUGAGACACGGUCCAGACUUCUACGGGAGGCAGCAGUAGGAAAUCUUCCAAUGGGCGAAAGCCUGACGGAGCAACGCCGCGUGAGUGAUGAAGGUCUUCGGAUCGUAAAACUCUGUUAUUAGGGAAGAACAUAUGUGUAAGUAACUGUGCACAUCUUGACGGUACCUAAUCAGAAAGCCACGGCUAACUACGUG
This 495-nucleotide ribosomal RNA is filed under the name uncultured bacterium. RNAcentral's name for it is "partial 16S ribosomal RNA". It matches the Rfam family "Bacterial small subunit ribosomal RNA", at positions 28 to 507 of the family's 1533-position model. The record is from RNAcentral.